GAUGAACGCUGGCGGCGUGCCUAAUACAUGCAAGUCGAGCGAACGGACGAGAAGCUUGCUCCUCUGAUGUUAGCGGCGGACGGGUGAGUAACACGUGGAUAACCUACCUAUAAGACUGGGAUAACUUCGGGAAACCGGAUCUAAUACCGGAUAAUAUUUUGCACCGCAUUGUUCAAAAGUGAAAGACGGUCUUGCUGUCACUUAUAGAUGGAUCCGCGCUGCAUUCGCUAGUUGGUAAGGUAACGGCUUACCAACGCAACGAUGCAUAGCCGACCUGAAAGGGUGAUCAGCCACACUGGAACUGAGACACAGUCCAGACUCUGACGGGAGGAAGCAGUAGGGAAUCUUCCGCAAGGGGGGAAAGCCUGACGGAGCAACGCCGCGGAAGGGAUGAAGGACUUCGGAUCGUAAAGCGCUGUUAUUAGGGAAGAAGAUAAGUGUAAGUAACUGUGCACAUCUUGACGGUACCUAAACAGAAAGCCACGGCUAACUACGUG
Molecule: ribosomal RNA, 497 nt
Filed under: uncultured bacterium
Lineage: Bacteria
Description: partial 16S ribosomal RNA
Rfam family: Bacterial small subunit ribosomal RNA
Source: RNAcentral